RNAcentral lists this long non-coding RNA (1663 nucleotides) under Drosophila guanche. The record is from RNAcentral. Lineage: Eukaryota; Metazoa; Arthropoda; Insecta; Diptera; Drosophilidae.
GUAUUUAUUUAUUCCGCAAGGUGAAUGUCAGUCGAGGUAAAAAUGUUUUAGGAAUUAAGUAUAGUUAUAAAAUUAAAGAAAUGUUGAAUUACAUUUGAAGAUUUAAAAAGAAAAUUAAAAUGGAUUAGAGCUCCUUAGAUUGGGUGAGACGAGAGAGGUCGGAAGAGUGGAACCAGCUGUUUUUAAAUGGGAGCGUGCAACAUUUUGAACGCUCAUGGAUGGGAGGGAGUCGCGAUGGUCAAAUAGAACACCGACUGACCCCACCGAGGAGAGUGCUAACGUAGACGCGUGUAAAAAAAUGAGAUCUGUCCGUUGCACGCGAGAAAAUAGGUUUUUUUUUGUUAAAUCCGUCCCCUGGCAAUCGGGUCGAAAACACCCCUGAGUUCCCCGAGAGCUAGCCGGGAACGAUAGACCAGGGCGGCAAAAAGGCGGAUCAGAACAAAUGGCGCCCAAGGAAAACGAGUGGCGCCCUAAUAAAUGGCGCCCAAUGGAAACGAAAGGCAUCGGUUUUAGACGGGGGGUCCAAGAUACCCUGUUGGUCCGUGAGCUAGGAAUACACCCCAGCCAUAGUAGCCGUUGAGGAGAAGAGUUCAGCGUAGAGGAGGAGAGUUGUGGUCCUGGUGUAGCCAAAUGGGCUACAGCCACGUUGUCCGACUCGUGGAGGCCUCGGAGAGAUUUGACGAGUGAAUACCUCGAGUUGUGGUCCGGGUGUAGCCAAAUGGGCUACAGCAACCUUGUCCGACUCGAGAGGUCCACGGAUCGGAUCGGAAGAGAGGUUCGGGGUCUCUCCAGUUGUGGUCCGUGCGGUGCCGACAGGGCAUCAGCAUAGUUGCCCGACUCGAGAGAGCCAGGACAACUAUAAAAAACGAAACAGUAAGAGGAGUUGGCACUCCUUGUGAAAAAAAGAAGCGGAAAUUAAUUGCGAGGGAAAAAGAUUGGUUCACUCACCGACUGCAACCGUGAGUUGCAGUUGUCUCUCGACUCGCCCAAGGGAUUGUGUAGCUGCAAAGGAAGAUUUGUUUUUGUUUACGUUAGUGUUUAUAACGGAUAACCCAUGUACAGCCAAGAUGUAAUUCCUAGCUCUUGGACGGCACGCUUAUAUGUGUUCCGGCUGCUGGCUCGUCGGCUACGAGUGUGGUGUUCUUGUCCAAGCUAGGGCCUACCUUAUUAUUACUUUAAAAAAAUGAAACGUGCACACAAAAAGCCAUAAACCGGACGGAAGAAUACAAAUUAACUUUAUGGCGUUUUUGGUCCAAGCUGCUUGUAUGCGUUGCGUUGGCUCCGGCGGCAGCGAUCGGGUUCCCGUGGCCCGCUCUUGUAGCUGGGGACGGUGGUUGCGGUUGGCAACUGAGUCUUCUACCGAAGAUUAUGUUGAGAGGGUAAUUGCCUUCUAUUUCGAUGGCCUUAAAGGCUCAACAAUAUGAUUAUAUCAAUGCACGUUUUACGACUCGUGUCGGAGUUUAUGUGAACACUCCGUUCAUUUAUUCGUCCAAUUCUAAACUAAAGCUUACUUCUAAACCUACACCGAAACCUAGCCGGCGAGCCGUCCGCGCACACAAGAGAUAAGAGCCGCCUACGAGUAAACAAGAUCAUGCGAUCGCUGGCGCCCAAUCAGAUAACAGAGCCGCCCGCUGCAACGGCAUCUACUGCAUCGGCGCCCUCC